This 396-nucleotide ribosomal RNA is filed under the name uncultured bacterium. Its description in RNAcentral is "partial 16S ribosomal RNA". It matches the Rfam family "Bacterial small subunit ribosomal RNA", at positions 523 to 918 of the family's 1533-position model. The record is from RNAcentral.
AUACGUAGGUGACAAGCGUUAUCCGGAUUUACUGGGCGUAAAGGGCGUGUAGGCGGUCUUGCAAGUCAGAAGUGAAAUUCCUGAGCUCAACUCGGGCGCUGCUUCUGAAACUGCAGGACUUGAGUGCUGGAGGGGAUAGCGGAAUUCCUAGUGGAGCGGUAAAAUGCGCAGAUAUUAGGAAGAACACCGGGGGCGAAGGCGGCUAUCUGGACAGGAACUGACGCUGAGGCGCGAAAGCGUGGGGAGCAAACAGGAUUAGAUCCCCUGGUAGUCCACGCCGUAAACGAUGAAUACUAGGUGUGGGGGGACUGACCCCUUCCGUGCCGCAGUUAACACAAUAAGUAAUCCACCUGGGGAGUUCGGCCGCAAGGUUGAAACUCAAAGGAAUUGACGGGG